Molecule: transfer RNA, 74 nt
Filed under: Chlamydiota bacterium
Lineage: Bacteria; Pseudomonadati; Chlamydiota
Description: Chlamydiae bacterium tRNA-Met
Rfam family: tRNA
About the family: Transfer RNA (tRNA) molecules are approximately 80 nucleotides in length. Their secondary structure includes four short double-helical elements and three loops (D, anti-codon, and T loops). Further hydrogen bonds mediate the characteristic L-shaped molecular structure. tRNAs have two regions of fundamental functional importance: the anti-codon, which is responsible for specific mRNA codon recognition, and the 3' end, to which the tRNAs corresponding amino acid is attached (by aminoacyl-tRNA synthetases). tRNAs cope with the degeneracy of the genetic code in two manners: having more than one tRNA (with a specific anti-codon) for a particular amino acid; and 'wobble' base-pairing, i.e. permitting non-standard base-pairing at the 3rd anti-codon position.
Source: RNAcentral
GGGGCAGUAGCUCAGCGGUUAGAGCAACGGACUCAUAACCCGUAGGUCCCCGGUUCAAAUCCGGGCUGCCCCAC